Molecule: long non-coding RNA, 1958 nt
Organism: Astyanax mexicanus (Mexican tetra)
Lineage: Eukaryota; Metazoa; Chordata; Actinopteri; Characiformes; Acestrorhamphidae
Exons: 2
Source: RefSeq, a predicted model, not a curated record
CCUGAGAAAAAGAGGGUGAAAAGUAAGAAUGGGAAAGGGGCCAGGAGAUCAAAGGAAAACAGAGGGAAGAGAGCAAAUGGUAAAAAACACAAAAAGUGUGCAAAUUUAUAACAGGUAAGUAUAACAGGUAAGCAUCUAAGGUAAGUAUAACAGGUACGUAUAACAGGUAAGCAUCUAUGGUAAGUAUAACAGGUAAGCAUCUAAGGUAAGUAUAACAACAGUUUAAUAUAACCAGUAAUGAUACCAGGGAUAUAUCAGUCGGGUGGUGAUAAGAACUGCCAUUAUCUUAAUCGCGAAUGUCUGUUUUGUUAAUUUUUUAUUUAUGUUUGUGCAACUCAAUGAGACAUAAUUGAGCGUACUAGAGUGAGACAGAUGAGAAUCUAUGUCAUGGAGCAUACCUGAUAGCCCGGAGGUCAAACACAGUUGAUUCUCCAGGGUUUUUGCCAGGACGGAUGGACUUACAAAGCUUCAGCUUGCUGUAGUCCUGGAAGAAACUGUGGUUGACAUAUUGCACAUUGUAUGGCCUGGGAUUGGACCGUGCUGCUCUGAUCACCGUGGCAUACUCGGCUGGAACAUGGAUGUCUCUGUCUCUCAGUCUUCUCUCUAUCACGCUGUGCACGGAGUCGCAUUCCAUUUGUGUAUGCCCUUUUUCCAAGUACUUCUGGGUAACGACCUUUUGCUUCUCAGUUGCAAACUUCAGCAGAGCAUUGCUUAAAACUAUGUUGCGAUUUUGAUAGCUGCAUCCAUCACUCCAUAAGAUGUAUUCAUCAUGCAUGCUGUGUUCCUCAAGGAAGUGGAUGAUACAUGAAGCAAAUUCAUUAGCUGUGAGUCCACCUUCCCCUUCAUGCCACAAAUAAUUAGUAGCAUCAUGGGUUGCCAUGUUGUACAUUGUGAAGUUGUGGACACCAAGCUUGGUUUUAUAGUAGAGUGCUGAGGCUUGAAGUUUGGGGCAAAGAAGUAAACCCUGCAGAUCCAUACACACCACCAUUGUUUUCUCAGUUGCAUUGUUUUUAUCUUCCUGCUUGCUCACUCUUGCUGACUCCUUCUUCCUGCAAUGUUCUUCCCAUGUGCCAGCAUCUAUGUUUCCAACUUUAUAUGAACAGCACGUAUUGCACUGAUCUUUCUUGGGGUGAAACAGCGAGAGAUUUAAUUGGUUAAAAAUGCUACUGAAUACUUGUCUUGAAAGAGACUGGACAUUAUUUUCUGCACAAGCAUGGGUGUAUUCAGAAUGAAGAUGGCUGAUGGAUUUAAAAAGAGGUUCCAAGUACAUUUUUGUAGAGGAAGAUCUGCAGUAAUGAGAUGGAACCUUAGGAAGGUCCUUUAGAAACUGCUGAAGGAACUCAACCUCUUCAUUCCUGAUGCUGGUUUUCUUUAUCUUUUCAGGCUCUCUCCGGCCAACCCAACUUAGAAAGCACCACUGCUUGAUCCCUAGUGUUGAAAGAAACAUGCUCUGACAUACCCUGGUCCUUUUGCCAUCCACUUUAAGGUGACACAGAAUGGAUGCUGACCUCCUUGACUGUUCUUCUCCUGUCCGUCGUCUUCUCACAGGGCCUACAUCUACCAGUGACACAACAUAAAUUUUCCUCUCCCUCCAGUCUAAUUUUUCCCAGAAGUAUUUAAAAAUUGCCUCCCUGUCCGCUUCCUGUAUUGCUUCACAGUGCAGCUUUUUCGAUUUCCUACAAAAUACAGACUGGCAUGGCCUACCCAUUUUUCUUUCUUCCCUCGUCACUUCCUCAUUUUGCCUUCUUCCAAGAUAUGACUGACCCAUCAUUCUUCUCCUUUUCUGAGUGUUGACUUUCCAGGUCUCUGUGUUUGUCCGCCUUUUUGGUCUUCCCAUGCGAGACUCUCCACCUAAAGCCUCCUCAGCUACAUCAUUUUCUUUAUUGCCCUCUUGAAGGAAAAAAACAAACAAACAUUCUUACUUCAUUUCAAGUGUUUAAUAAAAAUAAAAAAAACAC